AGCACUUGUAUGUGUGGACAAAGACACAGGUACAAAAAAUAAAUCCUCUUUUUCAAUCCAGAACUCGUUCAGUAUGAAUUUUGAUGCAUAUAAAGAAAGAGUAUG
Molecule: small nucleolar RNA, 105 nt
Filed under: Castor canadensis (American beaver)
Lineage: Eukaryota; Metazoa; Chordata; Mammalia; Rodentia; Castoridae
Description: Small nucleolar RNA SNORA40 (ENSCCNG00000019725.1)
Rfam family: Small nucleolar RNA SNORA40
About the family: The snoRNA ACA 40 belongs to the H/ACA family of snoRNAs and guides the pseudouridylation of 28S rRNA subunit at position U4565. NB This family has a high threshold value to exclude a large number of closely related sequences that do not appear to have conserved H and ACA boxes, and may be pseudogenes.
Source: Rfam by way of RNAcentral